RNAcentral lists this transfer RNA (76 nucleotides) under Cystobacter ferrugineus. RNAcentral's name for it is "tRNA-Met". It matches the Rfam family "tRNA". Rfam says of the family: Transfer RNA (tRNA) molecules are approximately 80 nucleotides in length. Their secondary structure includes four short double-helical elements and three loops (D, anti-codon, and T loops). Lineage: Bacteria; Pseudomonadati; Myxococcota; Myxococcia; Myxococcales; Archangiaceae. The record is from RNAcentral.
GGGCCCUUAGCUCAGCGGUUAGAGCUGUCGGCUCAUAACCGAUUGGUCCCUGGUUCGAAUCCAGGAGGGCCCACCC